UGAGGGUCCGCGGCUUCAGUCUUGAAGUCAGUGAGACCAAGAACCCACCGAUUCCGGACACACUUUCAGAAUGUGACGAGGACCUGAGGGUCUGGAAAUAACUGGGAAAGAAAAGCCUUGUGGAAAGAAGACAUCUCCAGGUUUGUUUCCUUCUUGCACCCUGUAAAAGAAUGUGGAUCUUCCCUCAAAUAAGUAAAGGGAAAACAUGCUGCUUCUUCAAAGACUCCAAUUUCAGAUGGCAAAAUGCAUGGAAGCUGAGAUGGACCUUCUGGAGUUUUCGAUAAACCACUGUAGCUCAGUCAGAGGUCCAAUUAUGAUGAUACCCACACAGCCCGGUCCUCCCACAGCCUACAUCCAAUCCUCUGAGGAAGCUGAGUGGCACUGCCUUUAUUCACCACAGAUGCUACAGAAUCAGCAGGAAGGAAGACUGUGAAAAGGAAAAAUGCACUCUUUUAAGGUGAAGACAAAGUAAGAAGACAGGCCGUUUGUGAACGAAGAAGCAGUCCCUCACCAGACACCGGAUCUGCCAGUGCCUGGAUCUUGAAUCUGCUGGUGCCUUGAUCUUGGAUUUCCCAUUCUCCA
RNAcentral lists this long non-coding RNA (582 nucleotides) under Homo sapiens (human). RNAcentral describes it as "HSALNT0392365". The record is from RNAcentral. Lineage: Eukaryota; Metazoa; Chordata; Mammalia; Primates; Hominidae.